Molecule: ribosomal RNA, 2754 nt
Filed under: Myxobolus arcticus
Lineage: Eukaryota; Metazoa; Cnidaria; Myxozoa; Bivalvulida; Myxobolidae
Description: eukaryotic LSU rRNA
Rfam family: Eukaryotic large subunit ribosomal RNA (bases 1063-2754)
Source: RNAcentral
UAUCUGGGUUGUCAAACUUGGGUAAUCUUGUCAAUCGUUAUCGUGAUGGGGAUUGAUCGUUGUAAUUGUCGAUCAUGAAAGAGGAAUCCCUAGUAUGUGCACUUCAUUAGAGUGUACAGAUUAAGUCCCUGCCCUUUGUACACACCGCCCGUCGCUACUACCGAGUGAAUGGUGUCAUGAUGCUUUGGGACUGGACGUCGUUCGCUUUUAACGAGGCGAAAUGAUGCUGGGAUCAAUGUAAAAUGGCGCAAUUUCGAGGAAGUAAAAGUCGUAACAAGGUUUCCGUAGGUGAACCUGCGGAAGGAUCAUUGAUAUUUCAAACCCAUACCAACAACGUUGGAAAUGGUAGUAGUGUGAAUGGCAGAUUCAACAAUUGUGUCCCUCACUGUAGGUGAAAGUUAUCGCUGGCAUGUUCGUGUAAAAAUACCUACAGUGAUUGUUGUAAUCUUUAAAAGUCGAUAGCUUUCAAAAAAACUAAUCGUCAAAGUAGUAAACUUGUCAUGACUUUACCUAUGACAGUCUGUGUUAAUGUGGAUACACUACUGUCGGUACUGGAAUCAUUUAUUAUUUUGGCGUUUGUAAGUGUUGUCAUAGCGGUUGUUUGGGGUUCUCGAGUAACACCAGUGUGUGUAAAAGAGACUGCGGAAAUAUAUAAACGAGUAAAUGUAACACAACCAUUAACGGUGGAUCACUCGGCUCGAGGAACGAUGAAGAACGUGGCAAAAUGCGAUAAUUGAUGCGAAUUGCAUGCCUAGUGAGUCAUCAAGUUUUUGAACGCAAAUGGCGCCUUUGAUAACUUCAAGGGCAUGUCUGGUUGAGGGUUGUUUUUAUGAAAACUCAAGUAGUUGUUGUACUAACUUGUAGUAGUGUGCAUUCAUUCGGGAUAAUGCAUCUGACAUGGCGUUGAAAUAUGGUCGAUAUGUUUCUUUGCUAAAGUAAAUGGUUAGAUGUGUAACAGUGUGUUGUGUAUAACUUGUAGAUAUGUGUAGAGUUUGAUUGAGAAACGUAGUGAACUAUGUGUAUAUAUCUGUUGUACAGCUGUUGACCAUCAUUUGUUGAUUGCAACCUCAACUCAGGCAAGGUUACGCCGUGAACUAAAGCAUUUCAGUAACGGCAGGAAGAGAAAACAACAGUGAUUCCCUUAGUAACUGCGAGUGAAGCGGGAAUAGCCCAACGUUGAAAGCUACAUCUCUAGCGGGAUGUCGCAUUGUAGCGUAUAGAGUUGACAUCGAGGUUGCCGUUCAUGUUAAAGUUGUUUAGAAUAACACACCAUAGAGGGUGAUAGUCCCGUGUGUGACAUGAUACUGUGCAGUCGAGUUUGUCAAACUCCAAGAGUCGGAUUGUUUGGGAAUGCAGUCUGAAGUGGGUGGUAAACUCCAUCUAAGGCUAAAUAUAUCCUCGAGACCGAUAGCGAACAAGUACCGUGAGGGAAAGUUGAAAAGUACUCUGAAAAGAGUGUGAAAAGUACGUGAAACCGUUAAUGGGGAAGCGGACUGUAGAAUCGAAGUGGUGCAGCGUAUGGGACAAUUUUAAUGAAUAGCAUGUCAUCUUACUUGUUUCUUAGCGUUACAUCACGCGCUGGGCUCACUGUUUUACGGGACUGGCAUGAUGUUUAGCUAUGAGUGAUGGGUACUUUCGGGUGCAGGCUCUUGUUGUGAACGUUAAUGUUAUAGAGUUCCAUGAUAGUGAUGGUUGUGAUUUGGUGAUCUUGUUCUCCAAGGCAUUGGGUCAAUAACUUGGUUUCCUCAUUUUAUGUUGCUGUGGGAUUCCACGGUAGCAUAAGGGUUACUGUUGUUGGUUGAUUGUCUUGGUUUAUAGGUUUGUCAAAGUGGCUAUGGUCGCACACAUACUCCCAGCGAGAUAUGCUGCUGUCCGACCCGUCUUGAAACACGGACCAAGGAGGCUAACGUAUGCGCGAGUCGAGGAGUAGAGAAACUCUUGGGCGUAACGAAAGUGAUUUGCGUGAGAUCCAAUGURUUCAUGUUGGAGCAUCACAAGCCGGUGGGAAAAUUGACUACCAUCGAGUUUUAGCGUAUUCGAUAGGACCCGAAAGAUGGUGAACUAUUCCUGAGUAGAGAGAAACCAUUGGAAACAAUGGCGGAUGCUCGUAGCGAUUCUGACGUGCAAAUCGAUCGUCAAACUUGGGUAUAGGGGCGAAAGACUAAUCGAACCAUCUAGUAGCUGGUUCCCUCCGAAAUAUCCCUCAGGAUCGCCGAAACUUGUAAUCACAGUUUCAUCGGGUAGAGCGAAUGAUUAGAGGAAUUGGGGUCAAUUUUGGCCUCGACCUAUUCUCAAACUGCAAACCGGUGAUAACGGUUAGGCUGGGAGCUUCUUUGUUGAGCACCCCCAGUAGUGUGUGAAUGUGAAAGUUUCGAGUGGGCCAUUUUUGGUAAGCAGAACUGGCGAUGCGGGAUGAACCGAGAGUUGAGUUAAAGUGCCAGAGUGGGGGCAAAUGGACACCACAAAAGGAGUUGGUAAGUGAAGACAGUAGGACGGUGGCCCUGCAAGUAGGCACCCGCUAAGGAUCGUGCUACAACGCACCUACCGAAUUUACUGGCCCUGAAAAUGGAUGGCGCUUUAGCCCCCCACUGAUACUCAACCGUAGACGCGAGAAAUGAGUCGUCUAUGGGUAGGAGGGUGCUAUGGUUGCUACGAAGACUGUAUGUGAAUACAGUUGGAGCAGCCAUAGGUACAGAUCUUGGUUUUAGUAGCAGCGCAUAGAAGUGAGAACCUUCUAGGCCGAAGUGGAGAAGG